AGACUUUAUUAAAUGAGCAUUAUACCUCAAAACAAGUUUUAAAAUAAAAAAAACAAACGAGCAGAAAACAUGUCUGUAACUUAACUGGCUCUGUGACCUUGGCAAUUUUGUAAAACCCUCUGAGCCUAGCUUUCUCACAUGUAAAGUGAUGAUAAUGGGUAAUUCCCAUGGCCGUUGUGAGAUUAAAUUAAAAGGGUUAAAUUUUAUUUAUAAAGCACCUAGCAUAUAUUAGACACUCAAUAUUGGGUCACAUCUCUGCAAAUCUGAUGGGAAAUGUCUUCCCUAAGGGAAGAUUUUCUGUUUCUGGAAUUUCACUCCCUAGAACUUUCCAUGCUUGAGUCAUGCAUUAGCUUUUGACAAGUUAUUUUAUUUAACUCUCCCUCUUGGCAAUCGCUACCUGUGAUGACACACAAAGCGGGAAACUACAUCCCAGCAGCUACAAAUAAUAGCAAGCAAUCUUUUGAACUAUUUGCCUUGAGGAAAGGCUAAAAAGUUAUUGAGUCGUGAGUGCAGUUUGCCACGUCACGAUGUAUUUCCCACUGUUUUCUUAGGCUAUUUUCUUUGCCUCCUUUAAGAUAUUUUCUGGAAACUUUUGCUGAACGGUAGCCAAUUGUGAGCGAAAGCUUCUGUAACCAUUCUCUUGCUGAAAGUAACUCGGAGAUCUCAUUUUGCCACAUGGAAGACAGCAGACUCUCUACUUCUCUUCCCUUAGGUCACAAUGGCCUAUAGGAUAUUGCUUUUAGAAGCAAUGCUAUAAGGAACCCUUUUUCUUGCACCAGUAGGAGGAAGAAAAAUGGAACUAAAAAGGGAAAACAAUAGCAACAAAGAUCAAAAUAAAUAACAAGGAAGCGGAGAGAAGAAAGAACAUGGUGAAGAGAGUGAAACGCAUUGUCAUUUGGGGUGAAUUGCAGAAAGAAAUAAAUUAUUGUUCUUAUAUAUAAG
RNAcentral lists this long non-coding RNA (942 nucleotides) under Homo sapiens (human). RNAcentral describes it as "HSALNT0373266". The record is from RNAcentral. Lineage: Eukaryota; Metazoa; Chordata; Mammalia; Primates; Hominidae.